UACGGAGGGUGCAAGCGUUAUCCGGAUUCACUGGGUUUAAAGGGUGCGUAGGUGGGCAGGUAAGUCAGUGGUGAAAUCUCCGGGCUUAACCCGGAAACUGCCAUUGAUACUAUCUGUCUUGAAUACCGUGGAGGUGAGCGGAAUAUGUCAUGUAGCGGUGAAAUGCGUAGAUAUCUGAAGGAACAUCAGUGGCGAAAGCGACUUCCUGGACGAAUACUGACGCUCAUGUGCGAAAGCGUGGGGAGCAAACAGG
RNAcentral lists this ribosomal RNA (253 nucleotides) under uncultured bacterium. RNAcentral describes it as "partial 16S ribosomal RNA". It matches the Rfam family "Bacterial small subunit ribosomal RNA", at positions 524 to 776 of the family's 1533-position model. The record is from RNAcentral.